This 11862-nucleotide long non-coding RNA is filed under the name Lynx pardinus (Iberian lynx). The record is from RNAcentral. Lineage: Eukaryota; Metazoa; Chordata; Mammalia; Carnivora; Felidae.
CCGGGGGCUCCUUUGAAGAGGUAUGUUCUGAGACCAGUGCUUAUUGCUGGUCCUUUCUGGGGCAGUGGGACUGAGGAGACCCUUGUCAUUGCUCAAAGAAAUUCUCAGCCUCAUACUGAACUUAUUCUCAGCUUAUGUUUAGUGAAACCGGAAAACAAAAAGAAGUAGACAGAAAAAGCUACCUCCAUAUAUAACUCAGCUAAUACUUCUAAAGAGACAGGCCCAACGGGGAACAAAUGACAGCCGCCUGUGCAAGUGAGUAUUGAGAAGACAGAGGGGACCCAUGGCUUUACUGAGACUCAUCCCUGCAGCCGUUUACAAGUCUCUUUCCAAACGGCUAUCACUUGGUCCUCACUGCGACCUCAGGACAGGUAGCCAGGCAGGUUUCUUUUCAUUUUACAGGAUACUGACUUUGAAAGAUAGAGUCACUCACUCACUCAGGAAGGCACAUCCAGGAGGCAGCAGAACCAAGAGUAAGACUUGGUCUUUUGGCUCUAAAAUCGUGCUCUUUCCAGUGACAUCAGUGUUUCAGUCUGUGGACCCUAGAAGUUUCCAUUUUUAUAAGGGGUUUGUGAAUCCAAAUGUAUAGUAGUUUCCACCUGUAGCCUCAGCUGAUAGAUUUAUAACCACCGUCAUGUGAAGAGGGUCUAGACUCUAUUGACACUGAUAAGAGCUCUUAUGGAAGAGUCUGGCAACCGACACAUUACCCCCUGCUGUAUCAAGUCUCCUGGCAGAGAGGUGACAUUCUUUAUCACUAGCGACACAGGGCACAAAAAUUCCUACAAGUGGACAGAGCUAGGAUUGAGACACAAAUCUUGGCUUUAUGUUUUGUGGUAUGCAAUGGACUCGUGAUUCAGAUAGAGAACACUGCCCAGAGGACGUGGGAGGUGCUCAAAAAUUUUAUCAACUGACCAAGUGACUAAAUUGGAGACGAGGAGACGUCAAAUGCCAAAGGGAAAAGCAGCCUCCGGGUGGCAAGUAAGGUGGGGAAAUCAGCAAGGGAAUCCCCUCACCCAUGAGGGAAAAGGAAUGGAAACAAACAGCAAAAGCAGUUAGCAGAUUGUUAAAAACUGGAAAGCUUUUGGAAUAAUGACAUAACUGUGCAGUCUCAUUAGACGUUCUAAUGGGAACAGAAAAGAAAUACUCGCCGCCAAUUUCCUUUCUGUUCCUGUAAUCUGUAGUACAUUUUUAAAGUAUCUAGUAGGGUGUUAAGUCCUUUUCAAUCACUACGAGUUCAUCCAUUCAUUCAACAAAUGUUCAUGGCGUGGCUAUUAAUAUGCCAGGCACUGAUCUGGUGUUGGGGAUAUAACAGUAAACAAAACAGACAAGAGAUUACCCUCAUGGAGCUCACAUUCUAGACAAUGAAGAAAUGAAAACUUAAACUACAACAGUAUAUCAGGUGGUGACAAGGGCUAUAGAGAUGAUGGCAGGGGAGAGACCUAGAAAUUGGCAAUUUUAAAUACGAUGAUCAGGGACAGCCUCAUUGAGAAAGUGAUGCUUGAACCAAAGCCUGAGGAUACGAGGGAGCAAAUCAAGCAGAUAUCUGAGGGAGGAACAUACCUGGUGUUCAGGAGCAACAAGGAAGCCAUUGCAGGGGAACAGAGUGAGAUAGAGAAGCAGGACGAGACUGGAGUCUGGGUUACACAGGACCGUACAGGCUAUUGAAGGGUUAGGAGCUCUUACCCUGAGUAACAUGGGAAGAGGUGAUGUGAUCUGACCUGCAUUUUAGCAGGUUUCUCUGGCUACUGUGCUGAGAAUAAAAGUAGGGAAUCAAGGGUGGGAUUAAGGACAUCAGUUAGAAGGUUCUGGAAAAAGUCAAGAAGAGAGAUGAUGGUCGUCUGGACCAAGGUGGUAGCAGUGGAGGUGGUGACAAGUGACUGGACUCUGGAUGUUUUAUGAAGGUGGGAAAGGCAAGAUUUACUAAUAAAUUAGAUGCAGAGUGGGAGGGAAAGAUUUAUCAAGGGUGAUGCCAGGGUUUUGAACCUGAACAAUGACAAGAAUACAGUUGCCAUUUAACUAACGCAAGGAAAGCAGUGGAGGGAGCAUGGGUUUGGAGGAGAAAAUCAGAAGUUUGGUUUUGAUUGUGUUGCGUUUGAGAUAUAUUUGUGUGUGUGUGUGUGUGUGUGUGUGUAUCUCAAAGGAGAGGUUCAUAUUUGAAGUAUGAAUUUGGAAGCCAUAUCACAAAAAGAGUACUGAGAACAUUUACCAAGAGAGUAUUGGAGAGGAAAAAGGGUCAGAGAACUGAAGCCUGGAGAUUUGAGCAGGUUGUAAUCAACCAAAGCCUGGGAAUGGGUGGCUAGUGAAGUAGGAGGAAACCAGGGAAGUGUAGACCACCAGGAAUCAAGCGAAGAAACUGUUUCAAGAAGCGUUGCUAUCUCACCUGGGGCAAAGGCUGGGAGACAGUAGGCAAGAUGAGCAUUGAGAAUUAAUUGCCCAUUAAACUUAGUAACAUGGAAGUCAACACUGAACUGGACAAGAACAGUUUCUGUGAGGCAAAUGACAGCUUGACUAUUGAGGGUUAAGAGAAAACAGGAAGAAAUGUAACCGGUGAAUAUAGACAACUCUUUUUAGGAGCUGGAUGCCAAAGAGGGUGGAGAAAGGAGAGCGUGUGACUUGAGGGGGCCGUCAGUCAAGAGAGGCUUCUUUUUGUUUUUUGUUAAUUUUUCUGGUUUUGUUGUAUUUAUUGGGGUGGGGGAGGGUGAGAGAGAGAGAAAAAAAAGAGAGAGAGAAUCCCAAGCAGAGAUUCAGUGCAGAGCCGAAUGUAGGACUCCAACUCAUGAACCCUAAGAUCAUGACUUGAGCUGAAAUCAACAGUUGGAUGCUUAACCUACAGAGCCACCCAGGUGCCCCUCCCCCCCACCAGGAAGCCAGGUCAUGGGCUGAAGGGCAGGAGGGAGGAGCGGUGCUGGAGGUAUUUGAAGAGAUCUUCCUCCCAAGUCUGUCGUGGGGAUUACCUGGCCCAUAGGAGAGGCUUAUAAACUGAAAGGAAUUCCUGUGUCUUUGUGAUUGUUGUUCAGAGCAAUUUUUUUGAACAUUACAUAUAUUGUUUUUAUUAUUAUAGUAAUAUUUCAUGUUUGAUAUAGAAAAUUAUGGAAAAGGCAGAAAAGUAUAAAGAAAAAAGUCAUGAUAAUUAUUCUCCAAAGAAAAUAGCUAUUAACAGUUGGACGUGUAUCCUUCCAGCCCCUUCUAUGAAUAUACAUUAUGGAUAUCCUGUUUUGUAUGUUGCUUUCUUUGCUUCACAUUGUAUUUCACUGUCUUCUCAUGUCCUUUGGUAAUGCCCCCAAGUAUGAUUUUUUUUAAAUUUUUUAAUGUUUAUUCAUUUUUUGAUAGACAGACAUGAGUGGGGGAGGGGCAGACACAGAGGGAGACACAGAAUCUGAAGCAGGCUCCAGGCUCUGAACUGACAGCACAGAGCCCGACGCGGGGCUCGAACUCACGGACCGUGAGGUCAUGACCUGAGCCGAAGUCGGAUGCUUAACUGAUUGAGCCACCCAGGUGCCCCCAAAUAUGAUUUUUAAUGGCUAUGAAUUCCAUAAAUGGCCGUAAUCAUUCCAUCAGGUGGCUGUUCUACCAUUUACCUUGAAAUUUCCCUAUUUUGGACGUUAAAGUUAAUACCAGUGUUUCACAUGUGUAAUUAAUGCUAUAAUGGACAUCCUCGCAGAGAAAUCUUUAUGCUCUGGUGAAUUCUUUACACUAACCUCUUAGAAAUGGAAUUAGUAAGUCAAAUGGUAGGAACAGUUUAAAAACUCUUGAUAGAUAUUGCCAAGCAGACUUCCAGAAAGGUUACACUAAUUUUCAUUUCUUCCAGCAGCAUAGGAGAAUGCCCCGACACGAUCCUUUUAAAAACCUUUGCAGGUCAGUAUUGAUUUAUUGGUUUAAUUUGUACUUUCUUGAUGACUUGUGAAGUCCAACUUCUUUUCAUUUAUUUACUUCAUUUGCAUUUCUUUGGAAGGCCUCUGUACAGGGGAGUUUGGCUUGAGGAAAAGCUUCUCAGUGGAAAUACUGUUGAAGCUGCCGAGAGUUAUCUGGGCUGAUCCCUUUCCAUGAUGCUUCUCUGGACGACAGGGACCCUCAGCUCCAGGAAGCUAGUGUGCAGCCGUGACCCAGCCAGCUAUCAUUGCUCUGUCCCGGUUCUCGGGGAAGGCCCCUCCAGCCCCUUCCUGCCCCUAGAUGGCACCUCCACAAAGAGCGAAUUUUCUCCCAUCCAUGACCUGGCAAACAGGAGCCAUCACAGGAGUGAAGAUACAUCAACGGAGGGCGGCAGGCACUUGUUUCAUCUCCCUGUUGGUGUAGUGCCUGAGACUUGACUUGUUUUAAAAUUAAAUAUUUUAAAACAUUUAAUUUUAAAAUAUUUAAUUUUAAAACAAACCAAAGGAAACUGAAACCGCCGCAUUGUUAGCAUUGGUUUUUAAGAAGUUCUCCUGGGCCGCCUGGGUGGCUGAGUUGGUUGAGUGUCCAACUCUAAAUUUUGGCUCGGGUCCUGAUCCCAGAGUUGUGGGAUCAAGCCCCGUAUCAGACUCUGUGCUGAGCAUGAAGUCUGCUUAAAAGUCUCUCUCCCGGGGCGCCUGGGUGGCUCAGUCAGUUGAGCAUCCGACUCUUGAUUUCGGCUCAGGUCAUGAUCUCAUGGUUUGUGGGUUCAAGCCCCACGUGGGGUUAUUCGCUGUCAAUACAAAGCCUGCUUGGGAUUCUCUGUCUCCCUGUCUGUCUGCCCCUACCUCUGCUCGUGCUGUCCCUCUCUCAAAAUAAAUCAAUAAACAUUAAAGAAAAAAAAAAAGAUUCUCUCUCUUUCUCCUUUUGCCCCUCUUCCCCACUCGUGCUCUGUCUCUAAAAAAAAAUUAGUGAGUGAGUUAUUUGUGAGGCAGUAGCUUUAGUCCAGAGCAAGCCUUGGACUGAGACCUUCUCCCUGCCUGCUCAUUACUAUGGCUCAUGGGACUUGCAAUCUGGAAUAAAUCGAGUCUAAGGCAGAUGGUCAGGCCAAGACAAAAGAACCUUGAAGCAUCUAUCCUUCUAAUUUCCCUCCACUUUCCUCAUUUAAAGAUUAAGAAUUUUUUUUUUUUUAAACAAAGUCUCAGUGGUAUGGAGGAGCUACAACCAUACAGCUCUCCUAAUUAGAAAGAGCAAAUCUAAUCAACUUUGAUGAUCAGCUUUGCGGAUUAUGUGGGAUAAAAUUUUCAUGCCACAGCAGUCCCUUAUUUCUGUCCCCCCCCCGCCUCCUUCAGAGUCAUUGCCUCUUCCACUCAGAGUAUUCUCAGAGACCAGGGGCUAUUUUUAAUACUUGCCAUGGAAAAACAUCAUUCAGAAGCAAAUCUGCUAUAAACUAUCCCAGUUAGGUGGUCCAGAGCCAAAUCUCAAUGACUUCCUGCAUAGUCAGGGUUACCACCCCUGUCCUUUCCAUCAGUUUGGAUGAUUGCAAGUUAUUCCCUUCUGACUAGAGGUGAAUGAACAUUUCCGCUGAAAAUUUCCCAACUUGCAGUAGAGGUAGUAGAUCAUAGUGGUUGAGACCUUGGGCUCCGGGUUCAAGUACAAGACUAUUUGAAUCCCAACUACACUGGACCUAGACCCCGAGCCUCAGUCCACAAGUCUCAAGGAUAAUGCAGGAUUUACUUCUUGGGGUGGGUGGGGAGGAUUGCGUGAGCUGUUGGUUGCACCGUGCCUGACACUUAGCCUGGUGUAUUUCUUUCCCAAGUACAUGCUAUUAUUAUGAACGUGCUCUGAGUUUCUGCAGCUAAAAUAUCUAAUAGAUGGGCACAUCACAACAGAGCUUUACUUGCCCUCAUAAUGCCCUGCAACAGGAGAUAAGGAAGGGAGAGUUUAGCUGCACAUUUUCCAAAAUGGACUGUCAUGUCUUAGCUGCAGUGAGAGACCAGGGGCGUGUAGCCAGUGUUUUAUCCUACCUGUUCCCGGUGUCAGUGGCGUGGGGUCACCAUAGUGAGUGGCCAGGUGUUAACCGUGUCCCUGCCCUUGCCAUAGUUCCCCUAAUGAGAGCCUCCUUGAGUUUGCUCACCCCUUUGGAAAGAGGUCUCCCUUCUCCUUUGUACUAAGUUGGCAAGUCAUUAUUAUAGUAAUAAUACCUGUUAUUACCAGUCAAUCUCUCUUUCGAUACUAAAUUAUUAUUAUGUACUUGGCCAAAAAGGUCUGUGCUAUUGUAAUUUGUAAAGCCCAGACUAAGCAGGACAAUAAAACUUGAAUAACGACAUCUUGCAUUUAUUUCCAUGGUGUUUAUUUUUCUAGUACAUAGUGUGUCAGCAGGCUGCUCCCUGACCUCCCUUGGCCAAGGAAUCCUGGCGUUUGCCUUUUGUACUGUUCAGAACCCCAAGUUUCCGGGCCACACGUCCCUUUGGAAAUCUCCAGGCAGUGCAUCUUCGGGCCGUGGCGAUAGAUGCAUCAGGCAGGGCCGGACCUGGUGGGUGGCUGUUUUUCUGCAAACAUGUGCUCCUGACCUCGAAGAGGCAGCGUCUUUAUUAUGGCCAUUUAUUAUUUACAAAGCACUGCAGGUAUACACAGCAUUUUAUGAGACACAAAGACAAGGUCCUGCCCUGUGCACUGAGAGGUUUUAUCCAGCACUUCAUCUGUCUGAGCUGAGCUGUGGGGACGCAAGGCAAGCAGGGCUGAAGGGCUGAGAGCUGCGUCUGGGAUGUCAGGGUGGAAGGAAGGACUUCUGAUGAGGAAUUUUAAAUGCGGGACGUCAGGUGUGUGAUACUUGAAGCGUCACUCUGGGGUCCAGGAGAGGUUUUGUCAUGACCUGUGUUGCAACACCACGAAGAGAAAUUCUGUCCGUGUGCCUGGGAACAGUUUGUGGGUGGGGGGAAUAACCGAAAGACUCAGAAGAGACAAAGGCCUUGUCGGUCCCAACAAUGUCUUAUACCAGCCUGUACCUCCCCGCCCCAACUUUCCAGCAAGUUGUCUUGUUUUCUCCUGUUUUGGGGAGUGAUCACUGCAGGCAGGAGGAUUAGUCAGCCUUUAACAAAAUGUAUUGUUCUUAAUUCACUGUGUAGCUUUAAGGAGAUUCAGUUUCCUCCUCAAGAAGGGUAGAUUUCUGGGUAUUUGGACCCCUAAUCUUCAGCCAUCUGUCCAUUACUUUUCUUCUGUCUGCAUCUGUCUGUCAGGGCAGCCCCAGUGGCAUCUCCCAGUCUGUGUGGGUUACCAUCACCUGCCUGUGUCGUCCUUCUGUCUGACUAAGCAGAUAGAUACUCAUUGAGUGCUCCCAGGAACGGAUGCUGGGGUGAAGAGCUGAACAAGACCUCGUCCCUGCCCCCCAGAAGCCAUGGACUAUCAGGACCGAGAUGUGAAAAAGCAGUGAGGUUGGGACCAAAGCUGCCUCUCCUUCAGGAGGAGACAGAGGCUUGGCCAUAAGAACACAGUCACUCAUCUGGAGAUGUUCCUGGGCUCCUACCCUCUAAAGCAAGGGCUCACAUUCGAAGAAGGUGCAGAAAUACAGACUUGCUCUGGGCUCGGGACAAACCGAUCACGUCCUUGGCAUGGGAUUCUUCCUGCUCAGAGCUCAGGGCUUAGUCUAAUACCAGGCAAGUUUUGCAGCCAGAAACAGAUAUAAAUUUGGCUGAGUAGCACUAGUGAAAGCAAAACAGAUUCUGUAAUGUACCGACUAUGCACCAGAUGGCUCUGCUUCCUACCAGCCCUGUAAGGCUGGUUAACAAAGCCUACUGCCCUCCAUUAUCGCCAUCAUCAUCAUCAUCAUCACCACCACCGGCUUCACCAAAUCCGAUUAAAAGCCCUGUGGUACAUGGCACUCUACAGAGCCCUCUGAGUCUGGAUGUUUAGUUGAGAAUAUAUAUUUCCUGCCUUUCCCCCCCUCCAACCCCUCCCUCCGCCUCCACAUCCCAGUGUGUCUGUGGUCUGGGUUAUCAUUUCCUCCACAAUCCUCCCUCCCCAUUCCCCGUCACUCACUCUGCCACUGCCUGGAUUCAAGUUAGCAUCCCUCCUUCAUAUUCCCUUCCACUUUCCCAGCCGAUGUCAGAGUAUGGACCUCCUGCAUAAGAAUCGUCUGGGGGAGUGUGUUAACAGCGCAGGUUUCGGGGCACCUGGGUGGCUCAGUCGGUUAAGCGUCCGACUUCAGCUCAGGUCAUGAUCUCAGGGUCCGUGAGUUUGAGCCCCGCGUCGGGCUCUGGGCUGAUGGCUCAGAGCCUGGAGCCUGCUUCCGAUUCUGUGUCUCCCUCUCUCUCUGCCCCUCCCCCGUUCAUGCUCUGUCUCUCUCUGUCUCAAAAAUAAAAAAACAUUAAAAAAAAAUAAAAAAAAAACAGUGCAGGUUUCUGGGAGCCCCUCUGCCCCUUCCAAUUAAUUCAGAGUGUCUGAUGGUGGCCUAUGGGCAUUUGCAUUGUAACAAGCUCCUUAGGUGAUUCUGAGUUUGAGAAUGCUGCCUUACACUUUCUCCUUUCAGCAAAAGCCAGAUACUUAGCCUAUCAGCUUCCUAGUUUAGAGGGGCACAUACCAGAAGCCAGCUGUGGAAGGGACACCAACAGCCAUAUGCCAGAGCCAGCCUGUACCUGAUGUCAAAAACAACAUUUCCAGGAAAUUUGCAAGCUGAUUGUUAAACCAUAGGUUGAAAUCGACCAUGGGGCAAGUAUUUACAUCACAGAAAUCACCAAGCACUUGUGUGUGUGUUUGUGUGUGUGUUUGGAGAAUCAGGUCACCAGCACACCUUGGACACCAAGUGUCAACCCAGCACUGUGAUUUGCACAUAAGGGCACCAAGGAGCAGAGAGGAAAGGGACCCAUCCAAGGUCUUUGCAGUAAAUAAGGUGGAAUCACAGCGAGAAUCGGAGUGUCCUGUCCCCUGUUCUGGUUUGCAUGAGAGCCCUAUUCCUUUUUCGUAAUGACUUUGCAUCUGUGGGGAGAGUGGUUUGUAAGGAUUCUUACAUAGAGUUCCCAUGAGUGUUUAUCACUCUGUGAGUUGGUUGGGGUUCUUCGAUUACAAGCCGCAGAUUCUAGCUGUCCUAAGCAGAAGAGAAAUUCGAUUGAAGAGUCUCAUUGAGUUCACAGAACUGGAAAGCAGGCUCGCAGAAGGACUCAGCAAGGGCAGCUGAGGACUCCACGCAUCAGGGACUGAUGGACCGUCUCCUGAGGGAGAUGUUGCUGGAUUGAAUCAACUCCAAACUCUUCUUUCCAACCUAGCUUUACUUUGUUCAAGAUACAAACUCCUUAAAGAGAGCGAUAUUGCCCUGGGGCCCCAUGCCCCACCCUUAGCUCAGGCUGGACUGGACACCUUGAUUGUUCACUCCCAAGACUGCAUACAAUGGGUGAGAGAUAAUUCCCCCAAAAGAAAUCAGGCACCUUUCCAGUGAGAAGAGGAAACUGAUGUCAAGUAACCAAAAACCCACAUCCCUUCUCUGCACUUCAACCAGACAAACAGCACUAGGAAGCUUGGAUCUAUAUCUCCCUCUUUCCAUUGAUACCCUGUGCGGCGCCUUAUGCCCUGGGUACAUCCUGCCUUUUGGCCGGGUGCUAGGAUUGGGAACCAGACUUGGGCAUUCUAAUGCUUAAAUGUGCGAGUUUCCCGUCAUCCUCUGCUCACCCCCUGUGCCCUCUCUUAUUGUACUGACUACCAUCUAAAUGCUAAUGAUUCCCGACUCUGUGUCUCUAGACCCAUAGUUUGGGUUUCCAUUGGACAUAUCCACUGUAGACGUAUUUCCCAGCUCCAACUUCCCCUUCAUUCCUGCUGCCACUGCCUGGAUUCAGGUUAGCAUCGUGCUCAUGUAUCAUUUGCACCACCUCUGAUCUCUUUCUCUAUCGUGUUCUUUCCUAUCCAAUCUACGCUGCAUGUUGUACUGUUUACUUCUUAAAAGCAAGAGGAUCUUACCACCCCCAUCCUUACAUGACAGGCAAUGACUUUUUUAUGCAAAGUCCCCACAUCCUACCUUGCAUACAAAGCCUUUUGUGACCUGCUCUUCACCUGUCCCUCUCAGCCCCUCUCCUGCUCACUGCUGACACACAGCCUUCACCUUCACCACGUGGACCCUUUCAGCAGACAUGCCAGGGCUUUCCACUCCUGGGACUUUGCACCUGCCUGCUUCUCUGUGCAGUGCGCCUCCUCAGGAUCUUUCCCCAGAAAGUUCUUACUCGUCCUUUAUGACUCAGAGGACAAGAUGGAAAAUGUGGGCAGAAUGAUUGCGGUAGAUGGAUGGGAGAGGCAGGGAUUCCCUGGUGAUUCUCAGUGAAUCUUGGUGAAGAUCAGCCUUUGCUGACCAGCCUUAUUAAGUUUUAUUUCUCUGUCCGCUGUAUCUCUACAACUCUUUGUUCAUAUAGUUCAUAAAGCACUUACUCCUUUAGUGUAUGAAUUCAAAUGCAUGUUUUUCACCUCGUCAUGAACAUUUAUGAGUUUUGAGGCCACCCAGGACCUUUCACAUCCUUCCUGCGUCCGGAAAGUUCUCUGUUUUACAAACCCCCACAUCCUAUCGCGGGAGGGAUGGCCUCACUGUCCCCGGCUCCCUUGCAGCUAGGGCACAGCACGUGACCCGGACCACCAACCACACAUGAGCAUUCAGAAGCUAGUGCUGCAAAGCCAUGAGCACUGGGGGAAUCCAUUCUGGCAAAGGUGGCUUGUAUCUUCCGGAGUCUCAGAGGGAGUGGCAGCCAAAGAUCCUGAUGGGAGCCUCUGAGGUCGUCAGUUAAAGCUGCAUGUCUGUGUAGACAGGAGAACCAGUUCUGCAAAGCGUUUUGGGGUGUGAUUUCUAGCUGUGUAGCUUCCCAGAAAUUUUGUGAUUUCACGAAUAUUCUUUAAUAAGUCUAUUUUCUGCUUAAAGUAGCCAGACUUGGCUUCUGAUUUUUGCAACUAGGAAAUUUGACCUUUUAGUCUGAAAAACCUUCAAGAGCAGGGUCCACUGUUUAUUUCUUCAUUCCUCCCCCGCAGCACCCAGCACCGAGUAGCUUUCAUGUACGUGUUUCUUGAACAAACACUUGCUUUCCCUGGGAGGAGGUUGCUUUUCCACAGUGCAUGACUUUAAUAGCUACAGGCUGGAGUUUCAGAGCUGAGAGCUUAUGUUACUGGCCUCAAAUACCUGGGUUCUGUAACCUUUUUCAAGGAGCUCAGAACUUCUCAAAGUGGAAUGUUAAGAUGACACUGACUUUCUUUUUCUUUUAUCUUUUUUUAAAUGUUUAUUUAUUUUUGAGAGACAGAGGGUGAGCAGGGGAGGGACAGAGAGAGAGGGAGACACAGAAUCCAAAGCAGGCUCCAGGCUCUGAGCUGUCCGCACAGAGCCCGACCUGGGGCUCGAGCCCAUGAACCGUGAGAUCAUGACUUGAGCUGAAGUCAGACGCUUAACCGACUGAGCCACCCAGGCGCCCCAAGAUGACUUUGAUUUUCAUGUUGAAUUUCCUUUUCUCUUGACUCUCCCACAAAGCUCCUUGUCUUGGAAUUUAAUGUGAUUUCAUUCUUUCAACUCCAGUGUGUUCCUGCAUUCUCUUUAUUUCUUCCCCACACAGAUCAAAGGAAGAAUGGAAUGAAUUUCCCUGCCCCAAACGCGGAACCAUUUUUCAGGGAUAAUGUGUGUCAUCUUCUUACAAGGCCCUGGAAAUAAGUUUAUGUGUGUGAUAGGGUUCCUAGGCCAGCAGGAGAGCAGAACGCUGGAGGCCUUCACUUUCAUAAGGCAUUGGGUAGCGUCUCAUUUUAUUUCCUUGGGGACAAGAUACAAAAUGUGGACUGAAUGACAAUGCAUUUGGUGCAUGGUGGAGGCGGAGCUUGCUAGCUGUCCACCAAAUUCCUAUCUUCGCCAUGGGAACAGGAGCAGAGUGGGUCAUGGGUGCCCAGCUGCCCUGCAUUUCCCACCUUCCUUACUGUAUGGUGUACCGUGCAUCUACAUUUUCUCCACUGGCAUGUGAGCAGACGUGACGCCUGCCCCUUCCAGGCCCG